This 496-nucleotide ribosomal RNA is filed under the name uncultured bacterium. RNAcentral describes it as "partial 16S ribosomal RNA". It matches the Rfam family "Bacterial small subunit ribosomal RNA", at positions 28 to 506 of the family's 1533-position model. The record is from RNAcentral.
GACGAACGCUGGCGGCGUGCCUAAUACAUGCAAGUUGAGCGCUGAAGGUUGGUACUUGUACCAACUGGAUGAGCAGCGAACGGGUGAGUAACGCGUGGGGAAUCUGCCUUUGAGCGGGGGACAACAUUUGGAAACGAAUGCUAAUACCGCAUAAAAACUUUAAACACAAGUUUUAAGUUUGAAAGAUGCAAUUGCAUCACUCAAAGAUGAUCCCGCGUUGUAUUAGCUAGUUGGUGAGGUAAAGGCUCACCAAGGCGAUGAUACAUAGCCGGCCUGAGAGGGUGAUCGGCCACAUUGGAACUGAGACACGGCCCAAACUCCUACGGGAGGCAGCAGUAGGGAAUCUUCGGCAAUGGACGAAAGUCUGACCGAGCAACGCCGCGUGAGUGAAGAAGGUUUUCGGAUCGUAAAACUCUGUUGGUAGAGAAGAACGUUGGUGAGAGUGGAAAGCUCAUCAAGUGACGGUAACUAACCAGAAAGGGACGGCUAACUACGU